Molecule: ribosomal RNA, 198 nt
Filed under: Rickettsia helvetica
Lineage: Bacteria; Pseudomonadati; Pseudomonadota; Alphaproteobacteria; Rickettsiales; Rickettsiaceae
Description: partial 23S ribosomal RNA
Source: RNAcentral
ACGGAACACAGAACCGUAGCGUACACUUAGUACGUGAGGAUUUGAGUACCGGAUCGACGUACAAAUUACCCCUAGAAGUAGGGUUUUCGAAUAGGUCUAAUGUAGUAUCAACUCACAAAGUUAUCAGGUUUAUAUACAGCUUUAUCAACUAAUAAAGAUGUUGUUGCAUGACUAAUGUCAUAUCAUGGCUUGAUCCAC